RNAcentral lists this ribosomal RNA (409 nucleotides) under bacterium. RNAcentral describes it as "partial 16S ribosomal RNA". It matches the Rfam family "Bacterial small subunit ribosomal RNA", at positions 355 to 776 of the family's 1533-position model. The record is from RNAcentral.
UGGGGAAUAUUGCACAAUGGGCGAAAGCCUGAUGCAGCGACGCCGCGUGAGGGAUGACGGCCUUCGGGUUGUAAACCUCUUUCAGUAGGGACGAAGCGCAAGUGACGGUACCUGCAGAAGAAGCACCGGCUAACUACGUGCCAGCAGCCGCGGUAAUACGUAGGGUGCGAGCGUUGUCCGGAAUUACUGGGCGUAAAGAGCGCGUAGGCGGUUUGUCACGUCGUCUGUGAAAUCCUAGGGCUUAACCCUGGACGUGCAGGCGAUACGGGCUGACUUGAGUACUACAGGGGAGACUGGAAUUUCUGGUGUAGCGGUGGAAUGCACAGAUAUCAGGAAGAACACCGAUGGCGAAGGCAGGUCUCUGGGUAGUAACUGACGCUGAGGAGCGAAAGCAUGGGUAGCGAACAGG